This 253-nucleotide ribosomal RNA is filed under the name uncultured bacterium. RNAcentral describes it as "partial 16S ribosomal RNA". It matches the Rfam family "Bacterial small subunit ribosomal RNA", at positions 524 to 776 of the family's 1533-position model. The record is from RNAcentral.
UACGUAGGGUGCGAGCGUUGUCCGGAAUUACUGGGCGUAAAGAGCUCGUAGGUGGUUUGUCGCGUUGUUCGUGAAAACUCACAGCUCAACUGUGGGCGUGCGGGCGAUACGGGCAGACUGGAGUACUGCAGGGGAGACUGGAAUUCCUGGUGUAGCGGUGGAAUGCGCAGAUAUCAGGAGGAACACCGGUGGCGAAGGCGGGUCUCUGGACAGUUCCUGACGCUGAGGCGCGAAGGCCAGGGGAGCAAACGGG